RNAcentral lists this ribosomal RNA (497 nucleotides) under uncultured bacterium. RNAcentral's name for it is "partial 16S ribosomal RNA". It matches the Rfam family "Bacterial small subunit ribosomal RNA", at positions 28 to 507 of the family's 1533-position model. The record is from RNAcentral.
GAUGAACGCUGGCGGCGUGCCUAAUACAUGCAAGUCGAGCGAACAGACGAGGAGCUUGCUCCUCUGACGUUAGCGGCGGACGGGUGAGUAACACGUGGAUAACCUACCUAUAAGACUGGGAUAACUUCGGGAAACCGGAGCUAAUACCGGAUAAUAUAUUGAACCGCAUGGUUCAAUAGUGAAAGACGGUCUUGCUGUCACUUAUAGAUGGAUCCGCGCUGCAUUAGCUAGUUGGUAAGGUAACGGCUUACCAAGGCAACGAUGCGUAGCCGACCUGAGAGGGUGAUCGGCCACACUGGAACUGAGACACGGUCCAGACUCCUACGGGAGGCAGCAGUAGGGAAUCUUCCGCAAUGGGCGAAAGCUUGACGGAGCAACGCCGCGUGAGUGAUGAAGGUCUUCGGAUCGUAAAACUCUGUUAUUAGGGAAGAACAAAUGUGUAAGUAACUAUGCACGUCUUGACGGUACCUAAUCAGAAAGCCACGGCUAACUACGUG